RNAcentral lists this ribosomal RNA (216 nucleotides) under Glomeromycotina sp. RNAcentral describes it as "partial small subunit ribosomal RNA". The stretch from base 40 to 216 matches the Rfam family "Eukaryotic small subunit ribosomal RNA", at positions 686 to 864 of the family's 1831-position model. The record is from RNAcentral. Lineage: Eukaryota; Fungi; Glomeromycota.
GGGUCAGUAGGUUGGUCGUGCCACCGGUACGUACUGGUCUCACUGAUUCCUCCUUCCUGAAGAACCGUAAUGCCAUCAAUUUGGUGUUGCGGGGAAACAGGACUGUUACUUUGAAAAAAUUAGAGUGUUUAAAGCAAGCUAACGCUUGAAUACAUUAGCAUGGAAUAGUGAAAUAGGACGAUCGAUCCUAUUUUGUUGGUUUCUAGGAUUGACGUA